AUGGCCCUCGGAUAUCUUGUCCUCACCGCCUUCCUGGGGCAACUGCUGGGCACCGUGGGGCAGACCACAGUCACCCAGCAAGAAGGACAAGUCACCGUGAAGCAGAGAGACACCUUCCAAACAGCCUGCGCAUACCAGACCUCCAGCUUUUAUGCCCUGCUUUGGUACCAGUGGAGGACAGGCCAAGCUCCCCAGCUGGUCUCCCAUCAGGCAGUAGCUGGCCCCAGGCGCGACGGCCGUCUCACCACGCUGCUGAACACCACAGGGAAAUACAGCCUCCUGCAGCUGGAGCAAGCCGAGGUCUCUGACAGCGCCUUGUACCUCUGUGCCGUGCAAGACACCCUG
Molecule: non-coding RNA, 345 nt
Organism: Egretta garzetta (little egret)
Lineage: Eukaryota; Metazoa; Chordata; Aves; Pelecaniformes; Ardeidae
Source: the annotation of a RefSeq genome assembly